RNAcentral lists this ribosomal RNA (360 nucleotides) under Triticum aestivum (bread wheat). RNAcentral's name for it is "partial small subunit ribosomal RNA". Lineage: Eukaryota; Viridiplantae; Streptophyta; Magnoliopsida; Poales; Poaceae. The record is from RNAcentral.
AUGUCGCAAUAUUGGUGGGGUGAUGAGGAGGACCAACGAAGGAUGCAUUGGUUUGCAUGGUGGAAGAUGUGUAUUCCGAAGGAGAGAGGAGGUAUGGGAUUUCGGGAUAUUCAUAGCUUUAACUUGUCAAUGUUGGCAAAGCAAUGUUGGAGACUAAUUGAGAACUUUGGUUCAUUAUGUGCACGAGUUCUCAGAGCCAAGUACUACCCUACAGGAGAUAUUCUGAAUUGUCAACUCAAGAAGGGGUCAUCCUAUGUGUGGCAAAGCAUUUAGUCUGGAAUUCAAAUGUUCAAGAAGGGUUACAUUUGGAGAGUAGGCAAUGGAGAAAAGAUUAAUAUAUGGGAUGCCUGUUGGAUCCCG